This 75-nucleotide transfer RNA is filed under the name Chloroflexota bacterium. Its description in RNAcentral is "Chloroflexi bacterium (groundwater metagenome) tRNA-Asn". It matches the Rfam family "tRNA". Rfam says of the family: Transfer RNA (tRNA) molecules are approximately 80 nucleotides in length. Their secondary structure includes four short double-helical elements and three loops (D, anti-codon, and T loops). Lineage: Bacteria; Bacillati; Chloroflexota. RNAcentral also lists the same sequence under 1 other name. The record is from RNAcentral.
UCCCCGAUAGCUCAGCGGUAGAGCGGGCGGCUGUUAACCGCUAGGUCGCAGGUUCGAAUCCUGCUCGGGGAGCCA